RNAcentral lists this ribosomal RNA (252 nucleotides) under uncultured archaeon. Its description in RNAcentral is "partial 16S ribosomal RNA". It matches the Rfam family "Archaeal small subunit ribosomal RNA", at positions 24 to 279 of the family's 1478-position model. The record is from RNAcentral.
CCCGACUGCUAUCAGAGUGGGACUAAGCCAUGCGAGUCGACAUAGCAAUAUGUGGCAUACGGCUCAGUAACACGUAGUCAACAUGCCCAGGGGACGUGGAUAACUUCGGGAAACUGAGGAUAAACCGCGAUAGGUCAUCACUUCUGGAAUGGGUAAUGACUUAAACCUAUAUGGCCCCUGGAUUGGACUGCGGCCGAUCAGGCUGUUGGUGAGGUAAUGGCCCACCAAACCUGUAACCGGUACGGGCUCUGA